This 468-nucleotide ribosomal RNA is filed under the name uncultured bacterium. Its description in RNAcentral is "partial 16S ribosomal RNA". It matches the Rfam family "Bacterial small subunit ribosomal RNA", at positions 28 to 507 of the family's 1533-position model. The record is from RNAcentral.
GACGAACGCUGGCGGCGUGCUUAACACAUGCAAGUCGAACGGAAAGGCCCUGCUUUUGUGGGGUGCUCGAGUGGCGAACGGGUGAGUAACACGUGAGUAACCUGCCCUUGACUUUGGGAUAACUUCAGGAAACUGGGGCUAAUACCGGAUAGGAGCUCCUGCUGCAUGGUGGGGGUUGGAAAGUUUCGGCGGUUGGGGAUGGACUCGCGGCUUAUCAGCCUGUUGGUGGGGUAGUGGCUUACCAAGGCUUUGACGGGUAGCCGGCCUGAGAGGGUGACCGGCAACAUUGGGACUGAGAUACGGCCAAGACUCCUACGGGAGGCAGCAGUGGGGAAUAUUGCACAAUGGGCGGAAGCCUGAUGCAGCAACGCCGCGUGCGGGAUGACGGCCUUCGGGUUGUAAACCGCUUUCGCCUGUGACGAAGCGUGAGUGACGGUAAUGGGUAAAGAAGCACCGGCUAGCUACGUG